Molecule: ribosomal RNA, 442 nt
Filed under: uncultured bacterium
Lineage: Bacteria
Description: partial 16S ribosomal RNA
Rfam family: Bacterial small subunit ribosomal RNA
Source: RNAcentral
CCUACGGGGGGCAGCAGUGGGGAAUAUUGGGCAAUGGGCGCAAGCCUGACCCAGCAACGCCGCGUGAAGGAAGAAGGCUUUCGGGUUGUAAACUUCUUUCAAGAGGGAUGAGCAGAAGACGGUACCUCUUGAAUAAGCCACGGCUAACUACGUGCCAGCAGCCGCGGUAAUACGUAGGUGGCAAGCGUUGUCCGGAUUUACUGGGUGUAAAGGGCGUGCAGCCGGGAAGACAAGUCAGAUGUGAAAUCCCUGGGCUCAACCGAGGAACUGCAUUUGAAACUGUUUUUCUUGAGUACCGGAGAGGUAAUCGGAAUUCCCGGUGUAGCGGUGAAAUGCGUAGAGAUAGGGAGGAACACCAGUGGCGAAGGCGGAUGACUGGACGGCAACUGACGGUGAGGCGCGAAAGCGUGGGGAGCAAACAGGAUUAGAUACCCUUGUAGUC